GAAGGCAGCAGGCGCGCAAAUUACCCAAUCCCGACACGGGGAGGUAGUGACAAUAAAUAACAAUACAGGGCCUUUCAGGUCUUGUAAUUGGAAUGAGUACAAUUUAAAUCUCUUAACGAGGAACAAUUGGAGGGCAAGUCUGGUGCCAGCAGCCGCGGUAAUUCCAGCUCCAAUAGCGUAUAUUAAAGUUGUUGCAGUUAAAAAGCUCGUAGUUGAAUUUUAGGCCUGGCCGGGCGGUCCGUCUUUGGCGAGUACUGUCUUGUUGUCGGGUCUUCCUUCUGGUGAACCAGUAUGUCCUUUAUUGGGUGUGUUGGGGAGCCAGGACCAUUACCUUGAAAAAAUUAGAGUGUUUAAAGCGGGCUUUUGCUUGAAUAGAUUAGCAUGGAAUAAUAAAAUAGGACGUUGGUUCUAUUUUGUUGGUCUAGGACCACCGUAAUGAUUAAUAGGGAUAGUUGGGGGCAUUAGUAUUCAAUUGUCAGAGGUGAAAUUCUUGGAUUUAUUGAAGACUAACUAUUGCGAAAGCAUUUGCCAAGGAUGUUUUCAUUAAUCAAGAACGAAAGUUAGGGGAUCGAAGACGAUCAGAUACCGUCGUAGUCUUAACCAUAAACUAUGCCGACUAGGAAUCGGGCGACGUUAUUUUCACGACUCGCUCGGCGCCUUAUG
Molecule: ribosomal RNA, 663 nt
Filed under: uncultured Archaeospora
Lineage: Eukaryota; Fungi; Glomeromycota; Glomeromycetes; Archaeosporales; Archaeosporaceae
Description: SSU rRNA
Rfam family: Eukaryotic small subunit ribosomal RNA
Source: RNAcentral